This 90-nucleotide non-coding RNA is filed under the name Chloroparvula japonica. Lineage: Eukaryota; Viridiplantae; Chlorophyta; Chloropicophyceae; Chloropicales; Chloropicaceae. The record is from RNAcentral.
AGAAAGAGAGAAAGAGAAAGAGGAAGAAAGGUAUAAUUUUACUUUCAUUUUUAUAAUUUCGGUCAUUGUCAUUUAUAAUAUUUGUCUAUU